UACAGAGGUCCCGAGCGUUGUUCGGAUUCACUGGGCGUAAAGGGUGCGUAGGUGGCGUGGUAAGUUUGAUGUGAAAGCUCAGGGCUUAACCCUGAAAUGGCAUUGAAUACUACUGUGCUGGAGGUUUGGAGGGGGGACUGGAACUCUUGGUGUAGCAGUGAAAUGCGUAGAUAUCAAGAGGAACACCAGUGGCGAAGGCGAGUCCCUGGACAACACCUGACACUGAGGCACGAAAGCUAGGGGAGCAAACAGG
Molecule: ribosomal RNA, 253 nt
Filed under: uncultured bacterium
Lineage: Bacteria
Description: partial 16S ribosomal RNA
Rfam family: Bacterial small subunit ribosomal RNA
Source: RNAcentral